RNAcentral lists this ribosomal RNA (254 nucleotides) under uncultured bacterium. RNAcentral's name for it is "partial 16S ribosomal RNA". It matches the Rfam family "Bacterial small subunit ribosomal RNA", at positions 524 to 776 of the family's 1533-position model. The record is from RNAcentral.
UACGUAGGACCCAAGCGUUAUCCGGAAUUACUGGGCGUAAAGAGUUGCGUAGGUGGUUUGUUAAGUGAAUAGUGAAAUCGUGCGGCUCAACCGUAUAUCCAUUAUUUAAACUGGCAGACUUGAGUAUGGUAGAGGUCACUGGAAUUCCAAGUGUAGGAGUGAAAUCCGUAGAUAUUUGGAGGAACACCGAUGGCGUAGGCAGGUGACUGGACCAUAACUGACACUGAGGCACGAAAGCGUGGGGAGCAAACGGG